AUGUCGCUGGAGCUGAGCAUGGCCCUGGCGGCGCCGCCGGGGGGCGGGCUGCUGGCCCCGCCCCCUCCCGCCCCGCCCGGCAAGGAGCAGCAGGUGGCGGGGGUGGGGAUCCUGCUGCAGAUCUCCAUGCUCGUGCUCUCCUUCGUGCUCGGCCACGUCCUCCGCCGCCACCGCUUCUACUACCUCCCCGAGGCCAGCGCUUCGCUCCUCAUCGGACUAGUUGUUGGUGGGCUUGCUAAUAUUUCGAACACAGAGACCAACACUAGGACAUGGUUCAACUUCCAUGAAGAAUUCUUCUUCUUGUUCUUAUUACCUCCUAUAAUAUUCCAAUCAGGAUUCAGCUUAUCCCCAAAACCAUUCUUUGCCAACUUUGGGGCCAUUGUAACUUUUGCCAUUCUUGGGACAUUCAUCGCUUCCAUCGUAACAGGGAUGCUUGUCUAUCUUGGUGGACUCACAUUUCUAAUGUAUAAACUUCCAUUGGUUGAAUGUCUUAUGUUUGGCGCUCUUAUAUCCGCGACUGAUCCUGUCACAGUAUUAUCAAUAUUCCAGGAACUGGGAAGUGAUGUUAACUUGUAUGCUCUGGUGUUCGGCGAAUCUGUUUUAAACGAUGCGAUGGCAAUUUCUCUUUACAGGACAAUGUCAUCGGUCAGGAGUAAUGCAGCAGGAGGCGAGAACAUUUUUAUGAUGAUUCUACAGUUCCUUGAGAUCUUUGUUGGUUCAAUGUCAUCAGGUGUCGGAGUUGGAUUUAUCUCUUCUCUUCUAUUUAAAUAUGCGGGAUUGGAUAUUGACAAUCUUCAGAACUUGGAGUGCUGCCUUUUUGUUCUCUUCCCAUACUUCUCGUAUAUGUUAGCAGAAGGACUUGGCUUGUCAGGAAUUGUUUCUAUACUAUUCACAGGGAUGGUUAUGAAGCACUAUACAUACUCUAAUCUGUCAGAUAACUCGCAGCGCUUUGUUUCGGCCUUCUUUCACUUGCUAUCAUCUUUGGCUGAAACAUUUGUCUUCAUUUAUAUGGGCUUUGAUAUUGCCAUGGAAGAGCAUAGCUGGUCACACGUUGGGUUCAUCAUCUUCUCGAUUAUAUUUAUAAUUGUUGCAAGGGCAGCAAAUGUCUUUUCUUGUGCCUACUUGGUUAAUAUAUCGCGGCCAGAACAUCGGCGUAUACCUCUAAAUCACCAGAAAGCUCUUUGUUUUAGUGGGCUUAGAGGAGCCAUGGCUUUUGCGCUUGCUCUCCAAUCUGUGCAUGAACUUCCUGAAGGACAUGGAAAGACGAUAUUAACAGCUACCACAGCCAUUGUCGUUUUAACGGUUCUUCUUAUUGGAGGGUCGACAGGCACCAUGUUAGAAGCUUUGGAUGUAAUUGGUGAUGAAAAUACAUCAAUAGAAACUUACGAGGAUAACAAUGGUUACAUUCCCCCAACUUAUGAGGAAGGUACAUCGUCUGGAGGAGGAUUGAGAAUGAAACUCAAGGAGUUCCACAAAAGCACAACAUCGUUCACCGCCCUUGACAAGAACUAUUUAACUCCAUUUUUCACCAGUCAGACUGAUGAAGAUGCUGAUGAUUUCGGUGAUCAACCCCAAAACCAGAGACGAGGAUUCUAUGAUCAAUAG
RNAcentral lists this ribosomal RNA (1605 nucleotides) under Triticum aestivum (bread wheat). Its description in RNAcentral is "partial small subunit ribosomal RNA". Lineage: Eukaryota; Viridiplantae; Streptophyta; Magnoliopsida; Poales; Poaceae. The record is from RNAcentral.